This is a non-coding RNA of Cucumis melo (muskmelon), 1976 nucleotides long. Lineage: Eukaryota; Viridiplantae; Streptophyta; Magnoliopsida; Cucurbitales; Cucurbitaceae. The record is from Rfam.
GUUCAAACGAAGAAAUACUUACGAUGGAUACAUAGGCAUAAAAGACGAGGAAGGGCAUAGUAAGCGACGAAAUGCUUCGGGGAGUUGCAAAUAAGCGUAGAUCCAGAGAUUCCCAAAUAGGUCAACCUUUUAAAUUGCUGUUAAAUCCAUGAGCAGACAAGAAAUAACCUAGCGAACUGAAACAUCUUAGUAGCCAGAGGAAUAGAAAGCAAAAGUGAUUCCCUUAGUAGCAGUAAGCAAAAUGGGAGUAGCCUAAAUCAUGAAAACGGGGUUUUGGGAGAGCAAUACAAGUGUCGUGCUGCUAGGCGAAGUAGUCAAGUGUUGUACCCUAGAUGGCAAGAGUCUAGUAGCUGAAAGCAUCACUAGCUUAUGCUUUGACCCGAGUAGCAUGGGGCAUGUGGAAUCCCGUGUGAAUUAGCAAAGACUACCUUGCAAGGCUAAAUACUCCUAGGUGAUGGAUAGUGAAGUAGUAUGGUGAGGGAAGGGUAAAAAGAACCCUCUCAUCUGGGAGUGAAAUAGAACAUGAAAUCGUAAGCUUCCAAGCAAUGGGAGGAGACCAAGACUUUGACCGCGUGCCUUUUGAAGAAUGAGUCAAUGACUCAUAGGCAGUGGCUUGGUUAAAGGAACCCACCGGAGCCAUAGAGAAAGGGAGUCUUCAUGAGGCAAUUUUCCCUGCUUAUGGACUCGAACCUAGGUGAUCUAUCCAUGACCAGGACGAAGCUUAGGUGAAACUAAGUGGAGGUCCGAACCAACAUGUUACGAUAAUUUGAACUUGCUUGAUCUGUUCAAUUGCGACCUUAUAAUGCAAUCGCAUUCUCGGGCUUAAUUGUUGUUUUUGUUUAUGUAUUCCUGAUUUAUCCACUAGGUCAGUCUGGUAGGUUCUUUGCGCCUAGUUUUGGUGUAGCAAUUAUAUUUCGAUUCAUCCUAUUUUUCCAAGGGUUUCAUAAUUGGACAUUGAUCUCAUUUCAUAUAAUGGGAGUUGCGGGUGUAUUGGGCGCUACUCUGCGAUGCGUUAUUCUUGGUGCUAUCGUAGAAAAUACAUUAUUUGAGGAUGAGGAUGGUGUAAAUACAUUCCAUGCUUUUAACCUAACUCAAGCUGAAGAAACUUAUUCAAUGGUCACUACUAAUCGCUUUUGGUCCCAAAUCUUUGGGGUUGCUUUUUUCUGAUAGAUGUUGGUUACAUUUCUUUAUGUUAUUUGUACCAGUAACUAGUUUAUGGAUGAGUGCUCUUGGAGUAGUUGGUCUGGCCCUGAACCUACGUGCCUAUAACUUCAUUUCUCAGAAAAUCCAUGCAGCGGAAGAUCCUUAAUUUGAGACUUUCUAUACAAAAAAUAUUCUCUUAAACGAAGGUAUUCAUGCUUGGAUGGCAACUCAAGAUCAGCCUCAUGAAAACCUUAUAUUUCCUUAUGAGGUUCUACCUCGUGGAAACGCUCUUUAAUGGAACUUUAGUUUUAGCUGGUCGUGACGAAGAAACCACCGGUUUCACUUGGUGGAUCAGAAAUGUCUGAGUUAUCGAUUUAUCUGAUAAACUACUGGGGGCUCAUGUAGCCCAUGCCGGAUUAAUCGUAUUCUGGGUCGGAGGAAAGAACCUAUUUGAAAUGGCUCAUUUCGUACAAGAGAAGCCCAUGUAUGAACAAGAAUUAAUUUUACUUCCCCACCUAGCUACUUUAGAUUGAGGGUAGGUCCUGGUGGGCAAGUUAUAGACACCUUUUCCUACUUUGUAUCUAGAGUACUUCAUUUAAUUUCCUCCGCAAUAUUGAGUUCUGGCUAUAUUUAUCAUGCACUUCUGGGACCCAAGACCCUUGAAGAAUCUUUUCCAUUCUUCAGUUUUAUGUGGAAAGAUAGAAAUAAAACGACUACCAUUUUAGGUAUUCACUUAAUUUUGUUAGGUAUAUAUGUUUUUCUUCUAGUAUUCAAAGCAUUUUGUUUUUGGGGUGUAUAUGAUACCUGGGCUCCGGAAGGGAGGGGGAGAUGUG